UUUAAAAAAUGGUGUCAGCUCCGCGCUAGUGAUCCUUAAACGUGCAGUGGCAUCAAGAGGUGGAGACGGCGUCGUAAAGUUGUCAAUUUUUUGGGUUUAUAAUCGCGAUAGCUGCCGGUUUUGUUUUUCUAUUGUGGAGACCGCCUCUUCUUGUAGGUUGCAUUGGAUCACCAUUAGGCUGUGGUCAAGGAGGUAAGAGCAAUAUUUGAUUGUUUUGUUUAAUUUUUUAUUGGUUAAUUGUUUUGUUUUCAGGUUUUAGCGUCAAUUAAUGUAGGCGCUCGUCGUUCUGGGAUCGGCCCGUCUAUUGCAGCGCAGCAUGCAAGUAGGUUGUAUCGGUGAUAAGAGAUACUACCAGGGACUGUGUGGCAAGAAGAUUCAGGUAAGUGACGUUGUGCAUAAAUUGCUGCGGCGAGUCGCCUCUUAUUCAUCAUGUUUCUGCCACACUAAUCCUUUUCAUAUCGAUCUACCGAUUCGUCGAUUAUGUCCUGGUUGAUUUUCCCCGCAUCGUUUCGUCAGGAUCAGCUAGAGUGCGUUGUCUUAGGCUUGUUCAUCCGGAUGCGUUGAGGAAAGUUAGGCUGGGUCGAGGAAGGUGAUGACCUUGCAUGAGUUUGGGAGCAGACUGACGUGCGCUUUUCAUCGGAUAUAGAUGUCGUUAGAAUAGAUAUAAAGAGAUGUGGGUUUAAAUGGAUGUUUCCAUGUCAAGAUUGUAAUCUCUUCCUUGUAUGAUUAAGGCCAAUAAACUGUCAAUUUUCUUCUCUAAA
Long non-coding RNA from Drosophila sechellia, 761 nucleotides. RefSeq lists it as uncharacterized. The record is from RefSeq and is a predicted model, not a curated record. The transcript has 2 exons. Lineage: Eukaryota; Metazoa; Arthropoda; Insecta; Diptera; Drosophilidae.